UGGGGAAUUUUGGACAAUGGGCGAAAGCCUGAUCCAGCAAUGCCGCGUGUGUGAAGAAGGCCUUCGGGUUGUAAAGCACUUUUGUCCGGAAAGAAAUCCUUGGCUCUAAUACAGUCGGGGGAUGACGGUACCGGAAGAAUAAGCACCGGCUAACUACGUGCCAGCAGCCGCGGUAAUACGUAGGGUGCAAGCGUUAAUCGGAAUUACUGGGCGUAAAGCGUGCGCAGGCGGUUUGCUAAGACCGAUGUGAAAUCCCCGGGCUCAACCUGGGAACUGCAUUGGUGACUGGCAGGCUAGAGUAUGGCAGAGGGGGGUAGAAUUCCACGUGUAGCAGUGAAAUGCGUAGAGAUGUGGAGGAAUACCGAUGGCGAAGGCAGCCCCCUGGGCCAAAUACUGACGCUCAUGCACGAAAAGCGUGGGGAGCAAAACAGGAUUAGAUACCCUGGUAGUCCACGCCCUAAAACGAUGUCAACUAGUUGUUGGGGAUUCAUUUCCUUAGUAACGUAGCUAACGCGUGAAGUUGACCGCCUGGGGAGUACGGUCGCAAGAUUAAAACUUAAAGGAAUUGACGGGGUCAUAGCUGUUUCCU
RNAcentral lists this ribosomal RNA (589 nucleotides) under uncultured bacterium. RNAcentral's name for it is "partial 16S ribosomal RNA". It matches the Rfam family "Bacterial small subunit ribosomal RNA", at positions 355 to 1375 of the family's 1533-position model. The record is from RNAcentral.